GACAGAGGGUGCAAACGUUUGUUCGGAAUUACUGGGCGUAAAGCGCGUGUAGGCGGGAAGGAAAGUCGGGCGUGAAAUCCCUGGGCUCAACCCAGGAACUGCACUCGAAACUUCUUUUCUUGAGUGCCGGAGAGGAAAGCGGAAUUCCUGGUGUAGAGGUGAGAUUCGUAGAUAUCAGGAGGAACACCAGUGGCGAAGGCGGCUUUCUGGACGGUAACUGGACGCUGAGACGCGAAAGCGUGGGGAGCAAACAGG
This 255-nucleotide ribosomal RNA is filed under the name uncultured bacterium. RNAcentral's name for it is "partial 16S ribosomal RNA". It matches the Rfam family "Bacterial small subunit ribosomal RNA", at positions 524 to 776 of the family's 1533-position model. The record is from RNAcentral.